GGGAUUGUGGCUCCGUGGCAGAGUGCUUGCCUUGCAAGUAUGAGGCACUAGGUUCAAUCCUCAGUACCA
This 69-nucleotide transfer RNA is filed under the name Marmota marmota marmota (Alpine marmot). It matches the Rfam family "tRNA". Rfam says of the family: Transfer RNA (tRNA) molecules are approximately 80 nucleotides in length. The record is from Rfam by way of RNAcentral. Lineage: Eukaryota; Metazoa; Chordata; Mammalia; Rodentia; Sciuridae. RNAcentral also lists the same sequence under 1 other name.